UAAGACAGAGGUUGCAAACGUUGUUCGGAAUUACUGGGCAUAAAGCGCACGUAGGCGGUCCACUAAGUCAGGUGUGAAAUCCCCCGGCUCAACCGGGGAAUUGCGCCUGAUACUGGUGGGCUCGAGGUCGAUAGGGGUGAGCGGAACUCCAGGUGGAGCGGUGAAAUGCGUAGAUAUCUGGAGGAACACCGGUGGCGAAGGCGGCUCACUGGAUCGAAUCUGACGCUGAGGUGCGAAAGCUAGGGUAGCAAACGGGAUUAGAUACCCCGGUAGUCCUAGCCGUAAACGAUGGGCACUGGGCAGGGGGGAUACCUAUGGUCCUCUCUGCCGUAGCUAAUGUGUUAAGUGCCCCGCCUGGGGAGUACGCUCGCAAGGGUA
Molecule: ribosomal RNA, 378 nt
Filed under: uncultured bacterium
Lineage: Bacteria
Description: bacterial SSU rRNA
Rfam family: Bacterial small subunit ribosomal RNA
Source: RNAcentral